GGGGACGUAGCUCAGUUGGGAGAGCACCUGCCUUGCAAGCAGGGGGUCGAGAGUUCGAAUCUCUUCGUCUCCA
Molecule: transfer RNA, 73 nt
Filed under: Mediterraneibacter faecis
Lineage: Bacteria; Bacillati; Bacillota; Clostridia; Lachnospirales; Lachnospiraceae
Also listed under: 18 other names
Description: tRNA-Ala
Rfam family: tRNA
About the family: Transfer RNA (tRNA) molecules are approximately 80 nucleotides in length. Their secondary structure includes four short double-helical elements and three loops (D, anti-codon, and T loops). Further hydrogen bonds mediate the characteristic L-shaped molecular structure. tRNAs have two regions of fundamental functional importance: the anti-codon, which is responsible for specific mRNA codon recognition, and the 3' end, to which the tRNAs corresponding amino acid is attached (by aminoacyl-tRNA synthetases). tRNAs cope with the degeneracy of the genetic code in two manners: having more than one tRNA (with a specific anti-codon) for a particular amino acid; and 'wobble' base-pairing, i.e. permitting non-standard base-pairing at the 3rd anti-codon position.
Source: RNAcentral